CCCCCAACCCUCGACUCUUGCACCGAUCAAUGAUUACGGAAAAAAGCGAUCCCCAAUUUUCAUCCCACGGUAACACCGAUGUCCCGAUUCUCCGCCGUGGAGGAAGCUAGAUUCGCCACCCACCGGAGACGACCCCGCCGCUCUGCCAUUGUUGGAUGAGAUCCUCUGAUUGCCGCAACUUCCUCAAUGGCUUGCCAAUUUCACCGAACAAAACCCAGAUUCGUUCCACACCAUCUACUCCCCGCAGGAACCUCUCAUCGUUGCCGCUGGAGAUGGCCCAAUCCCUCCACCGACGACGCCGCUGGCGAAUUCCAACUGCAUCCCCGCAGUUCCCCACCCGCAACGCUGGCUUCUGCAAUUCUUCCAGAGAUUGCACCAGCGUGCCUGCUAGAGCUGGUGGUGUUUUUGGGUGGAUCCGCCGAUCCAAAUCCAAGCCAGCAGGGGUAAGCAUUCAGCUAGAGCUGCACCGGCGUGCCUACUAGAGCUGAGGACCCGUCUCCAUCGGUCCUGCUUUCCACGCCGCCGCGAAGGAGGGCGCGCGUGCCGCCGGCGACGCCCAUCUCCAUCAGGCACAGCGAAAGGCUAGCCAAGAAGUCGCGACACCGAGCUACCAAACCGGCGCUUCAAGCCCAGAAUAUCAUGAUGAAGCGUCUGGGAGUUACUUCGCCAAGUCACCCACCAGAUGCCAACUCCUACCAACGUUAUGUGGAUACGUUCUUCUCUACCCUCAGUACAUCACAUGCUGAGGCACUUGAUGCCCUGCUGCCUACUGGCCUAGGGAGAGCUAUGGUCGUUGCGACGCCUUUGUCACCUUGAGUUGCUGCUAUGCUAUUGCAUAAGCCGUGGUCGCAAAAUUGUUUCCCAAAUGAUUGCUGAAAACAUUAUUAUCUGGAACGUCCGAGGAUUGAAUUCCCGGGCAAGGCGUAAUGUGGUUAGAGAACUGGUAACUCGAACAUAUUUCGCUUAUUUCCCUGCAAGAGUCCAAGCUUGAUGUGUGUGAUGA
Long non-coding RNA from Panicum virgatum (switchgrass), 1003 nucleotides. RefSeq lists it as uncharacterized. NCBI's taxonomy places the organism in Eukaryota, Viridiplantae, Streptophyta, Magnoliopsida, Poales, Poaceae. The record is from RefSeq and is a predicted model, not a curated record. The transcript has 2 exons.